CUGCGCGUCUGCUCCUCCUUCUCGCGCUUCUCCUGCCGCCCUAAUCCUGCCUUGGCCACGAGGGAGCUUGUGCUCUCACGCAGAUCGGGCAGUGCGGGAACCAGAUCGGGGCCAAGUUCUGGGAGGUGAUCUCUGAUGAACAUGCUAUCGACUCCGCUGGCACCUACCACGGGGACAGCCACCUGCAGCUGGAGCGCAUCAACGUGCACCACCACGAGGCCAGCGGUGGCAGGUACGUGCCCCGCGCUGUGCUCGUGGAUCUGGAGCCGGGCACCAUGGACUCUGUGCGCUCGGGGCCCUUCGGGCAGGUCCUCAGGCCAGACAACUUCAUCUUCGGUCAGUGUGGGGCCGGAAACAACUGGGCCAAGGGACGCUACACCGAAGGCGCGGAGCUGACGGAGUCAGUGAUGGACGUUGUCAGAAAGGAGGCUGAGAGCUGUGACUGCCUGCAGGGUUUCCAGCUGACCCACUCCCUGGGUGGGGGGACUGGGUCUGGGAUGGUUACCCUCCUCAUCAGCAAGAUCCGGGAGGAGUACCCAGACAGGAUCAUAAACACAUUCAGCAUCCUGCCCUCGCCCAAGGUGUCAGACACCGUGGUGGAGCCCUACAACGCCACCCUCUCAGUCCACCAGCUCAUAGAAAACGCAGAUGAGACCUUCUGCAUAGAUAACGAAGCGCUAUAUGACAUAUGUUCCAAGACCCUAAAACUGCCCACACCCACCUAUGGUGACCUGAACCACCUGGUGUCUGCUACCAUGAGUGGGGUCACCACGUGCCUGCGCUUCCCAGGCCAGCUGAAUGCUGACCUGCGGAAGCUGGCCGUGAACAUGGUCCCGUUUCCCCGGCUGCAUUUCUUCAUGCCUGGCUUUGCCCCACUGACCAGCCGGGGCAGCCAGCAGUACCGGGCCUUGACUGUGGCUGAGCUCACCCAGCAGAUGUUUGAUGCUAAGAACAUGAGGGCUGCCCGUGACCCCCGUCACGGCCGCUACCUAACGGCGGCUGCCAUUUUCCAGGGUCGCAUGCCCAUGAGGGAGGUGGAUGAACAGAUGUUCAACAUUCAAGAUAAGAACAGCAGCUACUUUGCUGACUGGUUCCCCGACAACGUAAAAACAGCCAUCUGUGACAUCCCACCCCGGGGGCUAAAAAUGUCAGCCAGCUUCAUUGGGAAUAAUGCGGCCAUCCAGGAACUCUUCACGUGUGUCUCAGAGCAGUUUACAGCAAUGUUCAGGCGCAAGGCCUUCCUCCACUGGUACACGGGCGAGGGCAUGGAUGAGAUGGAAUUCACCGAGGCCGAGAGCAACAUGAAUGACCUGGUGUCUGAAUAUCAGCAAUAUCAGGAUGCCACGGCCAAGGAGGAGGAGGAUGAGGAGUAUGCUGAGGAGGAGGUGGCCUAGAACUCUCCUUUUCUAGGUAAAGCGGGGGAGGCAGUGUGUAUUCUUCACUGUGUUGUGACAGCUAUGUGUCACUACGCACUUGUUCAUUUGUGUCUUCACAUCUCCUGCUGCUGCAUUUUAAAGCACUUUUAUAGUGUGCAGUUUUGACUAAUAAAGUAUUCUCACAGCA
Molecule: long non-coding RNA, 1563 nt
Organism: Homo sapiens (human)
Lineage: Eukaryota; Metazoa; Chordata; Mammalia; Primates; Hominidae
Source: Ensembl